Molecule: ribosomal RNA, 446 nt
Filed under: uncultured bacterium
Lineage: Bacteria
Description: bacterial SSU rRNA
Rfam family: Bacterial small subunit ribosomal RNA
Source: RNAcentral
GGUCCAGACUCCUACGGGAGGCAGCAGUGGGGAAUAUUGCACAAUGGGGGAAACCCUGAUGCAGCGACGCCGCGUGAGUGAAGAAGUAUUUCGGUAUGUAAAGCUCUAUCAGCAGGGAAGAAAAUGACGGUACCUGACUAAGAAGCCCCGGCUAACUACGUGCCAGCAGCCGCGGUAAUACGUAGGGGGCAAGCGUUAUCCGGAUUUACUGGGUGUAAAGGGAGCGUAGACGGCAUGGCAAGUCAGAUGUGAAAGCCCGGGGCUCAACCCCGGGACUGCAUUUGAAACUGUCAGGCUGGAGUGCAGGAGAGGUAAGUGGAAUUCCUAGUGUAGCGGUGAAAUGCGUAGAUAUACGGAGGAACACCAGUGGCGAAGGCGGAUUGCUGGACAGUAACUGACGCUGAGGCGCGAAAGCGUGGGGAGCAAACAGGAUUAGAUACCCUGGU